This 460-nucleotide ribosomal RNA is filed under the name uncultured bacterium. RNAcentral describes it as "partial 16S ribosomal RNA". It matches the Rfam family "Bacterial small subunit ribosomal RNA", at positions 338 to 795 of the family's 1533-position model. The record is from RNAcentral.
CCUACGGGCGACAGCAGUGAGGAAUAAUGGUCAAUGGGCGCGAGCCUGAACCAGCCAAGUAGCGUGAAGGAUGACUGCCCUACGGGUUGUAAACCUCUUUUAUCAAGGAAUAAAGUGAGGCACGUGUGCCUUUUUGUAUGUACCUUAUGAAUAAGGAUUGGGUAACUCCGUGCCAGCAGCCGCGGUAAUACGGAGGAUCCGAGCGUUAUCCGGAUUUAUUGGGUUUAAAGGGAGCGUAGAUGGGUUGUUAAGUCAGUUGUGAAAGUUUGCGGCUCAACCGUAAAAUUGCAAUUGAUACUGGCAGCCUUGAGUGCAGUUGAGGUAGGCGGAAUGCGUGGUGUAGCGGUGAAAUGCUUAGAUAUCACGAAGAACUCCGAUUGCGAAGGCAGCUUACUAAACUGCCACUGACAUUGAUGCUCGAAAGUGUGGGUAUCGAACAGGAUUAGAUACCCCUGUAGUC